UGAGCAAUCUGCCCUUCUCUUUGGAAUAAGCGUUGGAAACGACGUCUAAUGCCGAAUACGACCUCCUUUCGCAUGAUCGGAGGUGGAAAGCUCCGGCGGAGAAGGAUGAGCUCGCGGCCUAUCAGCUAGUUGGUGUGGGUAAUGGCCCACCAAGGCGACGACGGGUAGCCGGCCUGAGAGGGUGACCCGGCCACACGUGGGACUGAGACACCGGCCCAGACCUCCGUACGGGAGGNAGCG
This 240-nucleotide ribosomal RNA is filed under the name uncultured bacterium. RNAcentral describes it as "partial 16S ribosomal RNA". It matches the Rfam family "Bacterial small subunit ribosomal RNA", at positions 118 to 353 of the family's 1533-position model. The record is from RNAcentral.